RNAcentral lists this non-coding RNA (1781 nucleotides) under synthetic construct. The record is from RNAcentral.
GACUGUUUAUGGCACAGAAUGGAUCACAGAAAAGGUGCUUAUGUAGUACAUUGGGUCCCCGACUGGUGAUGAUUUCAGCCAGGUCUGGAUCAUCUAUGAGCUUAGAGGUGGUGUACAUCAUCAGGGUGUAGGCGGUUCUGUCUAGCAAAGAGGUGUUAUUUUCCAGGCAGGAUCGAGGACAUGUGUUUCCCGCUGACCAAAAUACUCACUGUGCCCUUCCUCAAGGCCCUAGAUCUGUAUCUCUCCCAGUUUUCCAUCUCAUGCAAGUUUCCCAUAAUUAAAAUAUCCACUGUGAAUCCUACCCUUCUGGCGUUUACCAAGAAGAAAUAUCUGGCUAGUGUUGUGUCUGAUCAACCCAUCGAGGUCCCUGCUCCAUCUGCCCGGCCUGAUCCUGUGAGGUUUACUGCUGCGGUGCCCUUAGCUUCUGAUGAGCAGUCUCUGGUGAAAGCUUUACAUUCCAGUACCGGGACAGUCCAGUGUGGAAAUCCAUUUUAUUAUAUGAUGACCAGACUUUGCUUGUAUGGACUAAUGCAUGGUAGGGGGGGAAUUGUGCCAGUUUCCAGCUCUAGUAAGCAGAGUGUAUAUGAUGUGGCUAUAAGAUUUAUAGGUUCUAGGAUAUUGAGCCCGAUAGUGAGGCUGCCAAUUUUAUCCAGGGCUUUGGCAGACCUGGCGCUGACGGGGCACGGUCAUCAGAUAACAGUGUGUAAUGAAUGUGGCCACUGUUUAAAUUUGGGCAGGGAUAAAUUUCUUGCAGUAAAUUUUUCCCCCACAAGUAUGUUUUAUUGCAGAGAUCAAAAGGAGAAACAGUUUAACAUAUGUGCUACAACUGGGAGGAUCUAUUGUUCAUAUUGUGGGGCGACAGAGUUUACAGUGUAUGACAUGGUGGGAAGGUAUGCUACGGGGGAGCCUUUUAUUAGGGCGGUUUCCUCAGCUAACUCCCUUAGUAUUUUAGAUAAUAGCGAACAGGAGUGUGAUAUACUGAUCCCUUGUUUUGGUAAAUCUAGGUCUUGCAGUAUUAAGCUGAGGGCGACAUUUAGGGAGCUACUUUAUUUGACAGCGUCUGUUGAUAAUUUUAUUUGUCAAAAGUGUUCCAAUAAGGGUGAUGAAUAAAGACAGGGUCAAAGCUCCAGCUUUCCACCCAGAGCUCCAUAACAAGCUUUUGGAAAGGCUUAAGGCUGCCUAUGGAAAGGACAGUAUUGGCAAAGACCCAGAAGAAGCCCCAGUUCCCCUGUUGUUGCAUACCUGUGCAGUUAGAUUCUAUGAAGAGUACAAAGAAUUGACACGUGAUAACACAUUGCCUACAUUGGUAAACAAGAAAGGAUUCCCGGGGGAUGCCAAAAUGAUGGACCCUGUCUUGGGUAUCUAUCACUCUGGAAAAAAACAGGGAGCAUCAAGUGUCCCUUCCUCUUCUGGAGCAUUUGACGGAGGGAGCCACGGUGGCCCUCUACCUUCUGUUGAUCUUCCUCAAAGGGAGGGAGGCCUGUGGUACGGACUGGGCCCUGACAAGUCUGGACUGGGUUUUGUGCUCCCCUCUGAUCCAGGGUCUAUGUCUGACGGGAACAGCUUUAGGGUUAUUCCAGACCCCUCAUCUCUAACAGACAAGGAUGACCAGAACUUGGGGGAAUCGACCAAAACAAGGAGUGGAAAUGGAAAGAAAAAGUAGACCCUUGACCAAAGACUGUUAAAUGUAAAGCUGUUUUAUUCUUUUUAGAGUAGACAGCAUAUAUGAUGAAUGGUCGUGUACACUUUUGAUUAUCUUCUCAAUAAAUAAUAAUACAUUA